UCAGAAAUUAAAGAAGUCACACGUGAUUGGAUAAAUUUCAAAAAAAAAAUUGUUCAGGAAACGAAUAUCAAACCGAUAAGCCCAAAAUAACAGUACCACGUGGCGGCCAAUCCCAUCAAAUGACGCUACAAAUCUCUCCCUAGAUCCACGUCUUCAUCGGACCAUCCACGCGUCCUCAUCCGCUUAUGCAACCAACACCAUACACCCCACUCUGAACCACGAGCGUGAACCAAACGUGCGGCAAGAAGUGACUGCACAAUGUUCUCCACGCGCGUAAAAGAGAGUGGAAUAUUAAAGGCACCUGUUGUUUUGGUAGCAAGAUGAAGAUGUUGUGUGGUAAUAAGAGUCCACCACGUUGCACUUUCUCGAAGCUGCCUAAAAGUGUUUUCAUUUAAAAUUUUUAUUUUAUUUUAAAAAUUUGACACAACAGCAACAGCGCGUUAUUCUCAAGGACCAAAAAGCCCAGGUGUACCAUUCUGUCGGUCAGUGCUGGGUACGUUCUGAUUUCUCAAUGGCUGAGACGUGGGACCAGGGCUAACGUUCGAUUACGUGGGAUCAUGCUACUUUGGG
Molecule: long non-coding RNA, 570 nt
Filed under: Citrus maxima (pomelo)
Lineage: Eukaryota; Viridiplantae; Streptophyta; Magnoliopsida; Sapindales; Rutaceae
Description: long non-coding RNA (CMAX_LNC000607)
Source: RNAcentral